AGAUUGAACGCUGGCGGCAGGCCUAACACAUGCAAGUCGAGCGGCAGCACGGGUACUUGUACCUGGUGGCGAGCGGCGGACGGGUGAGUAAUGCCUAGGAAUCUGCCUGAUAGUGGGGGAUAACGUUCGGAAACGGACGCUAAUACCGCAUACGUCCUACGGGAGAAAGUGGGGGAUCUUCGGACCUCACGCUAUCAGAUGAGCCUAGGUCGGAUUAGCUAGUUGGUAGGUAAAGGCCUACCAAGGCUACGAUCCGUAACUGGUCUGAGAGGAUGAUCAGUCACACUGGAACUGAGACACGGUCCAGACUCCUACGGGGAGCAGCAGUGGGGAAUAGUUGGAC
RNAcentral lists this ribosomal RNA (343 nucleotides) under uncultured soil bacterium. RNAcentral describes it as "bacterial SSU rRNA". It matches the Rfam family "Bacterial small subunit ribosomal RNA", at positions 26 to 370 of the family's 1533-position model. The record is from RNAcentral.